Molecule: long non-coding RNA, 192 nt
Organism: Suricata suricatta (meerkat)
Lineage: Eukaryota; Metazoa; Chordata; Mammalia; Carnivora; Herpestidae
Exons: 2
Source: RefSeq, a predicted model, not a curated record
CACUGCACUAAGGUAAUGCCAUCACAUUAUUUUAUCUGAUCCUGACACUGUUCUUAUGAGGGUAACCCAUGCAGUUUACCACCACAGAAAAGAAGAAAAAUUUUAAAACAACAAUGUCAACAAAAAGUUGUUAUACUAGGAAAAUACCGUUUGACAAGCUAGAGGGGAAUUAGAUGAGGAAUGAACAUGAAA